GACGAACGCUGGCGGCGCGCCUAACACAUGCAAGUCGAACGGAGCUGAGAGAAGCUUGCUUUUCUUAGCUUAGUGGCGAACGGGUGAGUAACGCGUGAGUAACCUGCCCUGGAGUGGGGGACAACAGUUGGAAACGACUGCUAAUACCGCAUAAGCCCACGAUCCGGCAUCGGAUUGAGGGAAAAGGAUUUAUUCGCUUCAGGAUGGACUCGCGUCCAAUUAGCUAGUUGGUGAGGUAACGGCCCACCAAGGCGACGAUUGGUAGCCGGACUGAGAGGUUGAACGGCCACAUUGGGACUGAGACACGGCCCAGACUCCUACGGGAGGCAGCAGUGGGGGAUAUUGCACAAUGGGGGAAACCCUGAUGCAGCGACGCCGCGUGGAGGAAGAAGGGUUUCGGAUUGUAAACUCCUGUCGUUAGGGACGAUAAUGACGGUACCUAACAAGAAAGCACCGGCUAACUACGUG
Molecule: ribosomal RNA, 468 nt
Filed under: uncultured bacterium
Lineage: Bacteria
Description: partial 16S ribosomal RNA
Rfam family: Bacterial small subunit ribosomal RNA
Source: RNAcentral